GACGGACGCUGGCGGCGUGCUUAACACAUGCAAGUCGAACGGAAAGGCCCCAGCUUGCUGGGGUACUCGAGUGGCGAGCGGGUGAGUAACACGUGGGUGAUCUGCCCUGCACUCUGGGAUAAGCCUGGGAAACUGGGUCUAAUACCGGAUAGGACCGUGCUUUAGUGUGUGCGGUGGAAAGUUUUUCGGUGCAGGAUGAGCCCGCGGCCUAUCAGCUUGUUGGUGGGGUAAUGGCCUACCAAGGCGGCGACGGGUAGCCGGCCUGAGAGGGUGUACGGCCACAUUGGGACUGAGACACGGCCCAGACUCCUACGGGAGGCAGCAGUGGGGAAUAUUGCACAAUGGGCGCAAGCCUGAUGCAGCGACGCCGCGUGGGGGAUGACGGCCUUCGGGUUGUAAACCCCUUUCGGCAGGGACGAAGCUUUUGUGACGGUACCUGCAUAAGAAGCACCGGCUAACUACGUG
This 465-nucleotide ribosomal RNA is filed under the name uncultured bacterium. RNAcentral's name for it is "partial 16S ribosomal RNA". It matches the Rfam family "Bacterial small subunit ribosomal RNA", at positions 28 to 507 of the family's 1533-position model. The record is from RNAcentral.